ACAAUGGAGAGUUUGAUCAUGGCUCAGGACGAACGCUGGCGGCGUGCUUCAUACAUGCAAGUCGAACGAGAAUCUCUAGCUUGCUAGAGAGGAAAGUGGCGGACGGGUGAGUAAAAUGUAGGUAAUCUGCCUUUAAGCGGGGGACAACAGUUGGAAACGAUUGCUAAUACCCCAUAUGAGAUUAGUUGAGAUAUUAAUCUUGAAAACUCCGGUGCUUAGAGAUGAGCCUGCAUCUGAUUAGCUAGUUGGGGGUGUAAUGGACCACCAAGGCGACGAUC
Molecule: ribosomal RNA, 278 nt
Filed under: bacterium
Lineage: Bacteria
Description: partial 16S ribosomal RNA
Rfam family: Bacterial small subunit ribosomal RNA
Source: RNAcentral